Molecule: long non-coding RNA, 571 nt
Organism: Prinia subflava (tawny-flanked prinia)
Lineage: Eukaryota; Metazoa; Chordata; Aves; Passeriformes; Cisticolidae
Exons: 2
Source: RefSeq, a predicted model, not a curated record
GGCCCGAGGGUCCCUGGUUUUGCCUCACGACCUUCGUCAAGGUCCUCUGUCAAGGAAGGGACUGUGUGCAAGGGGCUCAGGCCUAACCCAUGGUGUGUGUGUGUACCAAGCAUUGCACUGCAGGUGUGACUACUGGACCGGAGCUGGCUCCCAUGGGAACUUGUACGAAGACAAUGGACGGCUGGACAGCCUGUGCUUACCUGCAACCGGGCCCAGACCUGCUUGUCCCAGACCUGCUCGAUCUAAACAGUUGCACCUGGUUCCCAGAGCAACGGGGCUCCUCACAAUGACUUUCGGGUGCUCCCUCCCGCUUCUGCCCGCCUUGGCCAGGUGCCCCCCGCUUCUGAAAUGACUAUAAAAGCUUCCCCCUGUGACUCACACUUUGAGAUCUCUCCACGGACAGAAGACGGAUCCAUUGGCCAGACGCCACGCCACGAGGACGCCUCUGCCGUUGGUAGCUAUAUCCCCCUGCCCCCCCUUUCCUCGCUCUGUAUCCUAUUUUUCCUUUCUCACUCCCUCUAUCGCAAGUGUUGUUGGCACUCAAUAAAGGUGCAUUUGUUGUAUGAUUAAA